UGUGCAUAUGAUGAAAAUUAUGUUGGUAGGGACAUCUGAUAAAAUCUGAUGAAUGCCAACAUUUCUGAUACUGCGCG
Molecule: small nucleolar RNA, 77 nt
Organism: Clarias gariepinus (North African catfish)
Lineage: Eukaryota; Metazoa; Chordata; Actinopteri; Siluriformes; Clariidae
Product: small nucleolar RNA SNORD74
Exons: 1
Source: RefSeq, a predicted model, not a curated record